GCAAGUCGAACGAUAAGCUAGACUUCGGUUUAGUGGACAGUGGCAGACGGGUGAGUAACGCGUGGGAAUCUACCUUUGAGUGGGGAAUAACAAUUAGAAAUGAUUGCUAAUACCGCAUACACCCUCCGGGGGAAAGGCUUCGGCCGCUCAUAGAUGAGCCCGCGUACGAUUAGUUUGUUGGUGAGGUAAAGGCUCACCAAGACUACGAUCGUUAGCUGGUUUGAGAGGAUGAUCAGCCACACUGGGACUGAGACACGGCCCAGACUCCUACGGGAGGCAGCAGUGGGGAAUAUUGGACAAUGGGCGAAAGCCUGAUCCAGCCAUGCCGCGUGAGUGAAGAAGGCCUUAGGGUUGUAAAACUCUUUCGACAGGGAAGAUAAUGACGGUACCUGUAUAAGAAGCUCCGGCUAACUCCGUGCCAGCAGCCGCGGUAAUACGGAGGGGGCAAGCGUUGCUCGGAAUUACUGGGCGUAAAGCGAGCGUAGGCGGUUAAUCAAGUUGGUGGUGAAAGCCCGGAGCUCAACUCCGGAACUGCCAUCAAAACUGGUUCACUUGAGAUUGGUAGAGGAAAAUGGAAUUCCUAGUGUAGAGGUGAAAUUCGUAGAUAUUGGGAAGAACAUCUGUGGCGAAGGCGAUUUUCUGGGCCAAUUCUGACGCUGAGGUUCGAAAGCGUGGGUAGCAAACAGGAUUAGAUACCCUGGUAGUCCACGCCGUAAACGAUGAGUGCUAGACGUUGGGAAUUUAUUUUUCAGUGUCGUAGUUAACGCAUUA
Molecule: ribosomal RNA, 771 nt
Filed under: uncultured marine bacterium
Lineage: Bacteria
Description: bacterial SSU rRNA
Rfam family: Bacterial small subunit ribosomal RNA
Source: RNAcentral